Long non-coding RNA from Brienomyrus brachyistius, 583 nucleotides. RefSeq lists it as uncharacterized. The transcript is spliced from 2 exons. Lineage: Eukaryota; Metazoa; Chordata; Actinopteri; Osteoglossiformes; Mormyridae. The record is from RefSeq and is a predicted model, not a curated record.
UCCUACAAAACUUGAAGAAGCUUUUCAAGGAACGAACACAGUUCCGCAACAGUGUCUUGACUGAGGACAACAUAGACACUAAAAGCACAAAUAAAUGGAAAAGGAGCUUCCUGAAGAACUUUAGGAAGUAUAUUGAGCAAAGAAAGCAGUUCCAGUACAGUGUCUUGUCUGAGGACGACACAGACGUGGAACAUGAUGACAUGACUGGGGCUGGAGAAGAGAUGGACACAUGGAAAGACCUUCGUGACAUGGAGGCAGAGAGACAGAGGGUCCAGAAAGAAGAGAAGGGACCCUGAUCACAAAGAAUUAAAAGCCCCAGCAAGACAAGGCAGAGAAAGGCGCUGCCACUUAUUUAUUUGUGAGGAUACAAUGGAGAUGGGACAGAUCGAUGGAGGCUUUAUUGAGGACUAAAGUACAGGGUAACAGAACCAAAAAGGACGGGGGGGGGGGGGUCACAAUGAAUGUUUCACUACUGACCUAAUCCUCAAAUGACAAAGAGGACGUGUAUAUAAGAAAAGAUAAUGUCUUUGUUAAGUAAAUGUCUUUUUCAUAUUAAAUAAAUGGCAUUUUCAUAUUAAAUAAA